GCUGUGGGGGUUGACUGGCAGCUGUUGCCCAAAGACUCGUCAAUCAAAGGACGCUUUCGCCCCGGACUCCCCCAGGUCUUGAGCAUAGUCUCAGCUACGGAGAUAUUUGGGCUGGAAGCUUCAAGGGCCUCUGAGAUCUCAUCCAGCAAUCGCGGCAUUCUGUCUAAGCACUAUGGUGUUCGGCAUGAGGGUUAUCAGGGAAGAUGCUCCUCACGGUCCCGCGCCUCCUGGGGAAGANAAUUGAGCGCCGAGAGCACGAGCGCUGGGUUCGGUGGUGCCGGAGCCGCGGCAGCCUCUGCGACGAAUGCAGCGGGAUGCCUGCUGGGCCGACUGCCGCCCCGGCCCGGAGCCCUGGGUUCACUUCGCAGCCUGCUGCAGAGUUUCAGACCGCAGUACUCAGCAUCCACCGGGCUUUGCCCCCUUGCCGAAGUCUGCAGAUCGAUAGAUGCUGGGCGUAGGCUUUUCCCUAGGCUAAAGCCCCAAAGCUCCCACCUUCACCUUCUGUUUAUUUGCCCGCUCCCACCACUACCAUCGAAGUACGUGCCCCUCUGGUAGUGUUGGCGCUGAAACCCGAGCAAGGGAAAGGGCGCCUCCCCAUCCCCUCCUCCCCAUCCCCGCCGCGACUCGGGGUUUUACUGCGGCAGCCGGAGGUGACAGCUACGCCUGAGCCUCCUCCGUUGCUCUCAGAGCCCCGGCUUCCCCAGCCUCCGGAAAGCGCCUCCUUCUGAGAGGCUGGCCCUAGAGAAGUGCUAACGUGCUGCAGGAAACCAAAUUUAAAAAUGUAGAAGUCGCUGGGCUGCAUUCCUCCGAGGACGAGCCUGAUCGCCCAGGACCGAGAGUGGCAGCGUGUGGGAAGUUGGGACCGUAGGCAAGGGGGGAGGGGAGUGGUGCAGCCGGCAUUCCCUCUGAAAGGAGUCGCUGGGAGCAGCGACCGGUUGGACACAAGUUUGCCUGGGAGUGUUUUCCUUUCGUCAAUAAUUAAUCACCGGAAUCAGGCUGACAGAAUUGGAGUUUUAGCAAUAGUGCAGAGGGCGGGGCCGAACACCUAACUCCCGGAGCUUUGAGGUGCCCAGCGCAGUAGGAAGCUCGCAGCAGUUGGGGAGGAGCCAAAGCGCUGGCGCUCACCUAAGCCGCAGGAGAUAUACCCAACCCAACCGGGAGGUAAGCAUCUUCCAAAUACAUGCUUGAACGGUAACGUAGCUUUUAAAGGAUAGAAUUCCUGUCUUUAGAAGGAAUAAUAAUACCGAGCCAUAAAGCAAUGUACCAGCUUAUUAUUUAACUGCACUAAAAAUUUUAAGAAUUGAAUGGGUUUUUCCAUUUGCCUUUAACUAUGUUAGAAACUAAGAUGUUUCAGUCAACAGAAGCCAAACUUUACUACUGAAACUUUCCCAGCCAAAAGAAGAGAAAAUUACUUUGUUAAUUACUUUUGUUUUUUAUCUUUGUAUAAUGCAGUAACACUAUUCAGAGAAAUGUCAUUGGGUGUUGCUUGAUUUCAUUCUUAAAUAUUUUGUUCAUCUUGUUUUAUGUUUUUAUACAAUACUUUUUGCCCAUAAGCUAAUUGAGGCAAUAAUACACACAAGUCAAUUGCCCCCAAAGUAAAGAAUUUCCAACAAGGGAUACAUUUUAACAUUUUAUCAUGAUUAU
This 1644-nucleotide long non-coding RNA is filed under the name Capra hircus (goat). RNAcentral's name for it is "lncRNA (ENSCHIG00010005522.1)". The record is from RNAcentral. Lineage: Eukaryota; Metazoa; Chordata; Mammalia; Artiodactyla; Bovidae.